GAUGAACGCUGGCGGCGUGCCUAAUACAUGCAAGUCGAGCGAACAGACGAGGAGCUUGCUCCUCUGACGUUAGCGGCGGACGGGUGAGUAACACGUGGACAACCUACCUAUAAGACUGGGAUAACUUCGGGAAACCGGAGCUAAUACCGGAUAAUAUAUUGAACCGCAUGGUUCAAUAGUGAAAGACGGUUUUGCUGUCACUUAUAGAUGGAUCCGCGCCGCAUUAGCUAGUUGGUAAGGUAACGGCUUACCAAGGCGACGAUGCGUAGCCGACCUGAGAGGGUGAUCGGCCACACUGGAACUGAGACACGGUCCAGACUCCUACGGGAGGCAGCAGUAGGGAAUCUUCCGCAAUGGGCGAAAGCCUGACGGAGCAACGCCGUGUGAGUGAUGAAGGUCUUCGGAUCGUAAAACUCUGUUAUUAGGGAAGAACAAAUGUGUAAGUAACUAUGCACGUCUUGACGGUACCUAAUCAGAAAGCCACGGCUAACUACGUG
Molecule: ribosomal RNA, 497 nt
Filed under: uncultured bacterium
Lineage: Bacteria
Description: partial 16S ribosomal RNA
Rfam family: Bacterial small subunit ribosomal RNA
Source: RNAcentral